This is an RNA transcript of Drosophila sulfurigaster albostrigata, 1286 nucleotides long. RefSeq lists it as uncharacterized. NCBI's taxonomy places the organism in Eukaryota, Metazoa, Arthropoda, Insecta, Diptera, Drosophilidae. The transcript is spliced from 4 exons. The record is from RefSeq and is a predicted model, not a curated record.
AUUAGUGUCAUUGCCAUUUAACUUGGAUAGAACAAAACUCUAGCGUGUCGCACAAGCAUUAGACAUUUGCAGCAAUUAACUUGUGGUAGCAGCAUCAGAAUUUAGCAUUAGCUUUAAGAUGAAACUGUUUGUGUGGACGUUUCUCUUGUGCCUGCUCGGCCAGAGCGUAAAUGGACUAUUCUUUGAAGAGCUGACGCAAUUCUUUGGAGGCGGAGGCAGCACAAAGCUUGUCAAUUCAACUACAACCAGGAAGCCAGCAGUUAGCAAUGAAUUGGAAGUAUCGCUGGAGCAGGCAACAGACUCUUUGGAUGAGUUGUGGCAACAAUUCCGAAAGGGGCUGAAUAAUCUCAUGAGCAUCGAUGAUGAUGUGAAGACAACAACGACGACAACGACAACAACGACGACGACGUCUAAGCCAACGGUUGCCUCAACUAGUAACUUGCUGCAAUUGAAGCCGGUUGCAAAGCAGACAACCACAACAAAGCCCGUGUCAUCAUCAACAUCAUCAUCAACCGUAAAGCCCUCGAGCACAUCGCUGCCAUAAACUGGGAAGAUCAACUUACUUUAUAACGUACCUCAAAUUCCGACACAUGUGUUUAUACUUGAGUAAAUUAUUUGGCUGCAACCAACAAAAAUGCGACUUAACACGCGCUUAAAUAUUUACCCAACUGUUCUCAUUCUCUCUGGGAAUAUUCAUCAUGAAAUUCUAAAACAGUUUAUUGCCAUUCACUCAAAAGGCAUCAUGAGCUCUUGCUUUAACUUGGCAUUAAUUUUGACAACAUUCUGCGUUUCCCAACUGCAGAUGUGUCUGUUGUAGGCAUCGAUCGCAUUGUGUUGCCCAAAGGUUUGCCUGGAUUUCGUUAUGCUUUGGUCGAUAGCGAGGAGCUGCAGCAGCUGCAAAGUAAACUAGAUGAAGCAGAGGUGAAAGUAGUGCUGAUGGAGCUGCUGCAGUUUAACAUGAUGCGGAUUAUGUUGGUCUUGGACAUCGUCAUUCUGAUUUGUCUUUACUUCUAUGCAAAGGGAAGUCACGAGGAGAAUUGUUAUUGCGAAGUCAAGGCCAACACAUUUGUUAAAAUAUAAAUAAACAUUUGGAGUUAUUAUCGCUGUGGAUUGGAGUAUUUUAAGUUUAAGUAAAUAAAAUAGUUUACGCUUAUGUUUUGAGCUGUUUUUCAGCUGUUCAAUUAAAUGUGAAAAUUUGUCAAAACUUAUUAUUAUUUAUAUACAAUUAUUACUAGACUAAGCGAUUUCAUUGUUUAAAUAAAAUUUAACUGUGCUUUGAACCUGUU